AUUGAACGCUGGCGGCAGGCCUAACACAUGCAAGUCGAGCGGAUGAAGGGAGCUUGCUCCUGGCUUCAGCGGCGGACGGGUGAGUAAUGCCUAGGAAUCUGCCUGGUAGUGGGGGAUAACGUCCGUACACGGGCGCUAAUACCGCAUACGUCCUGAUGGAGAACGUGGGGGAUCUUCGGACCUCACGCUAUCAGAUGAGCCUAGGUCGGAUUAGCUAGUUGGUUUGGUAAGGGCCUACCAAGGCGACGAUCCGUAACUGGUCUGAGAGGAUGAUCAGUCACACUGGAACUGAGACACGGUCCAGACUCCUACGGGAGGCAGCAGUAGGGAAUAUUCGGCAAUGGGCGAAAGCCUGACCGAGCAAUGCCGCGUGUGUGAAGAAGGUCUUCGGAUUGUAAAGCACUUUAAGUUGGGAGGAAGGGAAGUAAGUGAAUACCUUCCUGUUUUGACGUUACCAAAAGAAUAAGCAACGGCUAACUACGUG
This 484-nucleotide ribosomal RNA is filed under the name uncultured bacterium. RNAcentral describes it as "partial 16S ribosomal RNA". It matches the Rfam family "Bacterial small subunit ribosomal RNA", at positions 30 to 507 of the family's 1533-position model. The record is from RNAcentral.